CCCCUAGAUGUUCUGGGCCGCACGCGCGCUACACUGAACAGUUCAACAAGUCUUAACCUUGGCCGAUAGGUCUGGGUAAUCUUUGAACGCUGUUCGUGAUUGGGAUAGACCUUUGCAAUUAUGGGUCUUCAACGAGGAAUUCCUAGUAAACGCAAGUCAUCAGUUUGCAUUGAUUACGUCCCUGCCCUUUGUACACACCGCCCGUCGCACCUACCGAUUGAAUGGUCCGGUGAAAUCUCGGGACGGCGGCUUGGUCGCUUGCGUCCGACUGCUGAAACUUGAUUAAACCAUAUCAUUUAGAGGAAGGUGAAGUCGUAACA
RNAcentral lists this ribosomal RNA (320 nucleotides) under uncultured eukaryote. Its description in RNAcentral is "partial 18S ribosomal RNA". It matches the Rfam family "Eukaryotic small subunit ribosomal RNA", at positions 1470 to 1796 of the family's 1831-position model. The record is from RNAcentral.